GUUGGGGCAUUUUCUAAGAAGUUUCUUAAGUUUCUCCCAUAAUUUAUGAAUUUGUUCUCCUGGAAGCUGAGCAAAUCUAGUGAUGGCUUACCUCAUAGUGUUGGUUCGACCUAUGGGAUAGAUUUCUUAAGAAAUUCAUAUUGUAAUUCAGUCCAAGUUUGAAUUGAUCUCCCUAUUGUGCCAAACUAGUACUUGGCUUUGUCCUUAAGUAAGAAAAGAAAUAG
This 224-nucleotide long non-coding RNA is filed under the name Elaeis guineensis (African oil palm). RNAcentral describes it as "long non-coding RNA (EGUI_LNC038086)". Lineage: Eukaryota; Viridiplantae; Streptophyta; Magnoliopsida; Arecales; Arecaceae. The record is from RNAcentral.